CCCAGCAUCGGUACGGGAGCUCCAGCCUGCGGUGAUGUGAUGAAGCUUCAGAUCAAGGUCGAUGAGAAGACCGGUCAGAUCGUUGAUGCUCGCUUCAAGACCUUUGGUUGUGGCUCCGCUAUCGUCGCUUCAUCUGUUGGUUUCAGAUUGAUUGGUUCAUUGUGGAGGUGGUGUUCGAAUUGAUUGGUUCUUGAUGAAUUAUGUUUGAUAUUAAUCGGUUCUUGUUCAUUGGGAAGUAUAUCCAAGUGCCACCUCCGUUGAAUUACCUUUUGGUGACUACGACAUUGCUUGUAGGUGCUGCUGGCGCUGGUGCUUCAGUUCUUGGAAUGAUCUCGAGUGGUUUUAGCUCGACCAUAUUCACUGCUUUGGCUGUGGUUGUGAGUGCCGCAGGAGCCCCAUCGUUGUAGGAUUUCCGCUCCUGCAUAUACUAUUAUGGCGGAGGACGCCAUCAAGGUAGCUGUGAAAGACUACAAGGAGAAGCGUCUGAAGACAAACGGUGCUGGAGAAACCUCACAGGCUUGAUUCCUUUUGAUCAUGUUUAUUUUGAAUAAACUCUGUUGAAAAAACAUCUGAUUUAUUUUAGGAUCUCUUUAUUACUUUUCAUACAAGUUUGUGCCAUGAACUGAACAUUUAAUUUAUUAAGAGACAACUAAAA
This is a long non-coding RNA of Raphanus sativus (radish), 655 nucleotides long. RefSeq lists it as uncharacterized. The record is from RefSeq and is a predicted model, not a curated record. Lineage: Eukaryota; Viridiplantae; Streptophyta; Magnoliopsida; Brassicales; Brassicaceae. The transcript has 3 exons.